UAAUACGGAGGUGGCAAGCGUUGUUCGGAAUUACUGGGCGUAAAGGGCGCGUAGGCGGCUUGGCAAGUCGGAUGUGAAAGCCCCGGGCUUAACUCGGGAAUUGCAUCUGAAACUGCUUUGCUUGAGUCCUGGAGGGGAUAGUGGAAUUCCCAGUGUAGCGGUGAAAUGCGUAGAUAUUGGGAGGAACACCUGCGGCGAAGGCGGCUAUCUGGACAGUGACUGACGCUGAGGCGCGAAAGCUAGGGGAGCGAACGGAUUAGAUACCCCGGUAGUCCUAGCUGUAAACGAUGGGCACUUGGUGUUGGGGGUAUUGAGUCCCUCGGUGCCGGAGUUAACACGUUAAGUGCCCCGCCUGGGGAGUACGGUCGCAAGACUGAAACUCAAAGGAAUUGACGGGGGCCCGCACAAGCGGUGGAGCAUGUGGUUCAAUUCGACGCAACGCGAAGAACCUUACCGGGGCUCGAACGGUAACUGCUACUCGUAGAAACACGGGGUUCUCUUCGGAGACGGUUAUCGAGGUGCUGCAUGGCU
This 531-nucleotide ribosomal RNA is filed under the name uncultured Acidobacteriota bacterium. RNAcentral describes it as "bacterial SSU rRNA". It matches the Rfam family "Bacterial small subunit ribosomal RNA", at positions 521 to 1050 of the family's 1533-position model. Lineage: Bacteria; Pseudomonadati; Acidobacteriota. The record is from RNAcentral.